UACGUAGGGGGCUAGCGUUGUCCGGAAUCAUUGGGCGUAAAGAGCGUGUAGGCGGUCCGGCAAGUCCGCUGUGAAAGUCGGGGGCUCAACCCUCGAAUGCCGGUGGAUACUGUCGGGCUAGAGUGCGGAAGAGGCGAGUGGAAUUCCUGGUGUAGCGGUGAAAUGCGCAGAUAUCAGGAGGAACACCGGUGGCGAAGGCGGGUCUCUGGGCAACAACUGACGCUGAGGAGCGAAAGCGUGGGGAGCGAACAGG
This 253-nucleotide ribosomal RNA is filed under the name uncultured bacterium. RNAcentral's name for it is "partial 16S ribosomal RNA". It matches the Rfam family "Bacterial small subunit ribosomal RNA", at positions 524 to 776 of the family's 1533-position model. The record is from RNAcentral.